This 289-nucleotide long non-coding RNA is filed under the name Struthio camelus australis. RNAcentral describes it as "lncRNA (ENSSCUG00000012408.1)". Lineage: Eukaryota; Metazoa; Chordata; Aves; Struthioniformes; Struthionidae. The record is from RNAcentral.
AUAACUCCUUGAGCUGAAAAAUUCUCAUCUUUUUUGUAGAGGACAGGCUGCGCAGAGACAAAUAGGAACAACAUGUCGCCAAUGGACCUAUACGGGCAGUCACACACACACAAAAGUUCAAGGCAGUGGCAAGACAGAGCAGACACAGUCAGACAACAGGACAGGACCGGCUCUCUUGUGCAACUGCUGCAACUGCGAAAGAUUUUAGAGAAAGAAUAAACUUCUUACCGAGCAGAAUAUACAUCUCCUGGCUUUCCAUUGCCUUCAAUAACAGGGUAAUGCAGGGGUC